This 253-nucleotide ribosomal RNA is filed under the name uncultured bacterium. RNAcentral describes it as "partial 16S ribosomal RNA". It matches the Rfam family "Bacterial small subunit ribosomal RNA", at positions 524 to 776 of the family's 1533-position model. The record is from RNAcentral.
UACGUAGGGGGCGAGCGUUGUCCGGAAUUAUUGGGCGUAAAGAGCUCGUAGGCGGUUUGUCGCGUCUGCUGUGAAAGACCGGGGCUCAACUCCGGUUCUGCAGUGGGUACGGGCAGACUAGAGUGCAGUAGGGGAGACUGGAAUUCCUGGUGUAGCGGUGAAAUGCGCAGAUAUCAGGAGGAACACCGAUGGCGAAGGCAGGUCUCUGGGCUGUAACUGACGCUGAGGAGCGAAAGCAUGGGGAGCGAACAGG